RNAcentral lists this ribosomal RNA (469 nucleotides) under Salmonella enterica subsp. enterica serovar Enteritidis. RNAcentral describes it as "partial 23S ribosomal RNA". It matches the Rfam family "Bacterial large subunit ribosomal RNA", at positions 582 to 1052 of the family's 2925-position model. The record is from RNAcentral. Lineage: Bacteria; Pseudomonadati; Pseudomonadota; Gammaproteobacteria; Enterobacterales; Enterobacteriaceae.
CCCUUUGGGUGUGACUGCGUACCUUUUGUAUAAUGGGUCAGCGACUUAUAUUCUGUAGCAAGGUUAACCGAAUAGGGGAGCCGGAGGGAAACCGAGUCUUAACCGGGCGUUAAGUUGCAGGGUAUAGACCCGAAACCCGGUGAUCUAGCCAUGGGCAGGUUGAAGGUUGGGUAACACUAACUGGAGGACCGAACCGACUAAUGUUGAAAAAUUAGCGGAUGACCUGUGGCUGGGGGUGAAAGGCCAAUCAAACCGGGAGAUAGCUGGUUCUCCCCGAAAGCUAUUUAGGUAGCGCCUCGUGAAUUCAUCUCCGGGGGUAGAGCACUGUUUCGGCUAGGGGGCCAUCCCGGCUUACCAACCCGAUGCAAACUGCGAAUACCGGAGAAUGUUAUCACGGGAGACACACGGCGGGUGCUAACGUCCGUCGUGAAGAGGGAAACAACCCAGACCGCCAGCUAAGGUCCCAAAG